UUGACCUCGGAUCAGGUAGGGAUACC
Molecule: ribosomal RNA, 26 nt
Filed under: Plenodomus lingam (blackleg of rapeseed fungus)
Lineage: Eukaryota; Fungi; Ascomycota; Dothideomycetes; Pleosporales; Leptosphaeriaceae
Also listed under: 448 other names
Description: Leptosphaeria maculans (blackleg of rapeseed fungus) partial 28S ribosomal RNA
Source: RNAcentral